GCCUGCCUACGGGGGGCAGCAGUCGGGAAUAUUGCGCAAUGGAGGAAACUCUGACGCAGUGACGCCGCGUAUAGGAAGAAGGUUUUCGGAUUGUAAACUAUUGUCGUUAGGGAAGAUAAAAGACUGUACCUAAGGAGGAAGCCCCGGCUAACUAUGUGCCAGCAGCCGCGGUAAUACAUAGGGGGCAAGCGUUAUCCGGAAUUAUUGGGUGUAAAGGGUGCGUAGACGGCUGUGCAAGCCAGAUGUGAAAGCCCGGGGCUCAACCCCGGGACUGCAUUUGGAACUGUGUGGCUGGAGUGUCGGAG
Molecule: ribosomal RNA, 305 nt
Filed under: uncultured bacterium
Lineage: Bacteria
Description: bacterial SSU rRNA
Rfam family: Bacterial small subunit ribosomal RNA
Source: RNAcentral